UACGUAGGGUGCAAGCGUUGUCCGGAAUUAUUGGGCGUAAAGAGCUCGUAGGCGGUUUGUCGCGUCUGCUGUGAAAACCCAGGGCUUAACCCUGGGCCUGCAGUGGGUACGGGCAAACUAGAGUGCGGUAGGGGAGAUCGGAAUUCCUGGUGUAGCGGUGAAAUGCGCAGAUAUCAGGAGGAACACCAACGGCGAAGGCAGCUCGCUGGGACGGUACUGACGCUGAGGCGCGAAAGCGUGGGGAGCAAACAGG
RNAcentral lists this ribosomal RNA (253 nucleotides) under uncultured bacterium. Its description in RNAcentral is "partial 16S ribosomal RNA". It matches the Rfam family "Bacterial small subunit ribosomal RNA", at positions 524 to 776 of the family's 1533-position model. The record is from RNAcentral.